AUUGAACGCUGGCGGCAUGCCUUACACAUGCAAGUCGAACGGUAACAGGUCUUCGGAUGCUGACGAGUGGCGAACGGGUGAGUAAUACAUCGGAACGUGCCCGAUCGUGGGGGAUAACGGAGCGAAAGCUUUGCUAAUACCGCAUACGAUCUACGGAUGAAAGCAGGGGACCGCAAGGCCUUGCGCGGACGGAGCGGCCGAUAUCAGAUUAGGUAGUUGGUGGGGUAAAGGCUCACCAAGGCGACGAUCUGUAGCUGGUCUGAGAGGACGACCAGCCACACUGGAACUGAGACACGGUCCAGACUCCUACGGGAGGCAGCAGUGGGGAAUUUUGGACAAUGGGCGAAAGCCUGAUCCAGCCAUGCCGCGUGCAGGAUGAAGGCCUUCGGGUUGUAAACUGCUUUUGUACGGAACGAAAAGACUCCUUCUAAUAAAGGGGGUCCAUGACGGACC
RNAcentral lists this ribosomal RNA (453 nucleotides) under uncultured bacterium. Its description in RNAcentral is "bacterial SSU rRNA". It matches the Rfam family "Bacterial small subunit ribosomal RNA", at positions 30 to 478 of the family's 1533-position model. The record is from RNAcentral.